AGUGAACGCUGGCGGUAGGCCUAACACAUGCAAGUCGAACGGCAGCACAGUAAGAGCUUGCUCUUACGGGUGGCGAGUGGCGGACGGGUGAGGAAUACAUCGGAAUCUACUUUUUCGUGGGGGAUAACGUAGGGAAACUUACGCUAAUACCGCAUACGACCUACGGGUGAAAGCAGGGGAUCUUCGGACCUUGCGCGAUUGAAUGAGCCGAUGUCGGAUUAGCUAGUUGGCGGGCUAAAGGCCCACCAAGGCGACGAUCCGUAGCUGGUCUGAGAGGAUGAUCAGCCACACUGGAACUGAGACACGGUCCAGACUCCUACGGGAGGCAGCAGUGGGGAAUAUUGGACAAUGGGCGCAAGCCUGAUCCAGCCAUACCGCGUGGGUGAAGAAGGCCUUCGGGUUGUAAAGCCCUUUUGUUGGGAAAGAAAAGCAGCAGGUUAAUACCCCGCUGUUCUGACGGUACCCAAAGAAUAAGCACCGGCUAACUUCGUG
RNAcentral lists this ribosomal RNA (492 nucleotides) under uncultured bacterium. RNAcentral describes it as "partial 16S ribosomal RNA". It matches the Rfam family "Bacterial small subunit ribosomal RNA", at positions 29 to 507 of the family's 1533-position model. The record is from RNAcentral.